AAUAUCUGAAUUCGCUUCUUGAAUACAGUCAGUUCUAGACUGACCGUACAGUAAUUUAUUUUGGGAUCCUCAAGGAAAACAUUUUUUUUUAUGGAAAAUACGAAUAUUCUACUUAAAUACGAAAAGAAUAUUGAAACAGUAUAUAUUUAACUGUAAACUGAUGCAAAUAUUUGCAAUAAAAGAUUAUUUGCUUUGUACUACGAGAGCAAAAUUGUCCAUCGAUUUCACUUUUUUUCUAUCAAGUUGGUGUGAUGCACACGUAUAUUUUAUAUUCUGGUGCAUGUUUUUG
Molecule: long non-coding RNA, 289 nt
Filed under: Mytilus galloprovincialis (Mediterranean mussel)
Lineage: Eukaryota; Metazoa; Mollusca; Bivalvia; Mytilida; Mytilidae
Source: RNAcentral